AGCAGCCGCGGUAAUUCCAGCUCCAAUAGCGUAUAUUAAAGUUGUUGCAGUUAAAAAGCUCGUAGUUGAAUUUCGGGAUCAAUUUAUCGGUCGUGCAAUAGUACGUACUGAUUUUAUUGAUUCCUACCUUCUGAUGAACUAUGGUGUCAUUAAUUUGGUGUCAUAGGGAAUCAGGACUGUUACUUUGAAAAAAUUGAGUGUUUAAAGCAGGCUCACGCUUGAAUACAUUAGCAUGGAAUAACGAAAUAGAACGUUUGAUUCUAUUUUGUUGGUUUCUAGGAUCGACGUAAUGAUUAAUAGGGAUAGUUGGGGGCAGUUAGUAUUCAAUUGUCAGAGGUGAAAUUCUUAGGAUUUAUUGAAAGACUAAACUACUGCGAAAGCAUUUGCCAAGGAUGUUUCAUUAAUCAAGAACGAAAGUUAGGGAUCGAAGACGAUCAGAUACCGUCGUAGUCUUAACCAUAAACUAUACCGACUAGGGACCGAUGAUGUUAAUUUUUAAUGUACUCUAUUCGGCGUCGUU
RNAcentral lists this ribosomal RNA (520 nucleotides) under uncultured Glomus. RNAcentral's name for it is "bacterial SSU rRNA". It matches the Rfam family "Eukaryotic small subunit ribosomal RNA", at positions 569 to 1090 of the family's 1831-position model. Lineage: Eukaryota; Fungi; Glomeromycota; Glomeromycetes; Glomerales; Glomeraceae. The record is from RNAcentral.